GACGAACGCUGGCGGCGUGCUUAACACAUGCAAGUCGAACGGAAAGGCCCUGCUUUUGUGGGGUGCUCGAGUGGCGAACGGGUGAGUAACACGUGAGUAACCUGCCCUUGACUUUGGGAUAACUUCAGGAAACUGGGGCUAAUACCGGAUAGGAGCUCCUGCUGCAUGGUGGGGGUUGGAAAGUUUCGGCGGUUGGGGAUGGACUCGCGGCUUAUCAGCUUGUUGGUGGGGUAGUGGCUUACCAAGGCUUUGACGGGUAGCCGGCCUGAGAGGGUGACCGGACACAUUGGGACUGAGAUACGGCCCAGACUCCUACGGGAGGCAGUAGUGGGGAAUAUUGCACAAUGGGCGGAAGCCUGAUGCAGCAACGCCGCGUGCGGGAUGACGGCCUUCGGGUUGUAAACCGCUUUCGCCUGUGACGAAGCGUGAGUGACGGUAAUGGGUAAAGAAGCACCGGCUAACUACGUG
RNAcentral lists this ribosomal RNA (468 nucleotides) under uncultured bacterium. Its description in RNAcentral is "partial 16S ribosomal RNA". It matches the Rfam family "Bacterial small subunit ribosomal RNA", at positions 28 to 507 of the family's 1533-position model. The record is from RNAcentral.